Non-coding RNA from Mycena metata, 73 nucleotides. NCBI's taxonomy places the organism in Eukaryota, Fungi, Basidiomycota, Agaricomycetes, Agaricales, Mycenaceae. The record is from the annotation of a GenBank genome assembly.
GUCCUCGAGGAUCAAUGGUGAUCAUCCCGUGGUUUGGCGCGGGAACGUGAGGGUUCGAUUCCCUCCGAAGACG